This 69-nucleotide transfer RNA is filed under the name Ictidomys tridecemlineatus (thirteen-lined ground squirrel). Its description in RNAcentral is "Spermophilus tridecemlineatus (thirteen-lined ground squirrel) tRNA". It matches the Rfam family "tRNA". Rfam says of the family: Transfer RNA (tRNA) molecules are approximately 80 nucleotides in length. Their secondary structure includes four short double-helical elements and three loops (D, anti-codon, and T loops). The record is from Rfam by way of RNAcentral. Lineage: Eukaryota; Metazoa; Chordata; Mammalia; Rodentia; Sciuridae.
GGAGUUGUGGCUUAGUGGUAGAGCACCUGCUGAGCAGGUGUUAGGUUCUGGGUUUGAUUCUCAGCACCA